GCAAGCCUGACGGAGCAAUACCGCGUGAGGGAGAAAGGCCUUUGGGUUAUAAACCUCUUUUGUCAGGGAAGAAAAUUUGACGGUACCUGAAGAAAAAGCAUCGGCUAACUCCGUGCCAGCAGCCGCGGUAAUACGGAGGAUGCAAGCGUUAUCCGGAAUAAUUGGGCGUAAAGGGUCCGCAGGUGGCCAUUCAAGUCUGCUGUCAAAGCCAGUGGCUCAACCACUGAAAGGCAGUGGAAACUGGGUGGCUAGAGUACGGUAGGGGUAGAGGGAAUUCCCAGUGUAGCGGUGAAAUGCGUAGAUAUUGGGAAGAACACCGGUGGCGAAAGCGCUCUACUGGGCCGAAACUGACACUGAGGGACGAAGGCUAGGGUAGCGAAAGGGAUUAGAUACCCCUGUAGUCCUAGCCGUAAACGAUGGAUACUAGGUGUAGCUUGUAUCGACCCGAGCUGUGCCGAAGCUAACGCGUUAAGUAUCCCGCCUGGGGAGUACGCACGCAAGUGUGAAACUCAAAGGAAUUGACGGGGGCCCGCACAAGCGGUGGAGUAUGUGGUUUAAUUCGAUGCAACGCGAAGAACCUUACCAGGGCUUGACAUGUGGCGAAUCUGGGUGAAAGCCUGGAGUGCCUUAGGGAGCGCCAACACAGGUAGUGCAUGGCUGUCGUCAGCUCGUGUCGUGAGAUGUUGGGUUAAGUCCCGCAACGAGCGCAACCCUCGUUUUUAGUUGCCAUUUUAAUGGCUCUCUAGAGAGACUGUCGGGGACAACUCGGAGGAAGGUGGGGAUGACGUCAAGUCAGCAUGCCCCUUACGCCCUGGGCUACACACGUACUACAAUGGUUGGGACAAAGGGCAGCAAACCCGCGAGGGCAAGCGAAUCUCAUCAAACCCAGCCUCAGUUCAGAUUGCAGGCUGCAACUCGCCUGCAUGAAGGAGGAAUCGCUAGUAAUCGCAGGUCAGCAUACUGCGGUGAAUUCGUUCCCGGGCCUUGUACACACCGCCCGUCACACCAUGGAAGCUGGCU
Molecule: ribosomal RNA, 1020 nt
Filed under: uncultured cyanobacterium
Lineage: Bacteria; Bacillati; Cyanobacteriota
Description: bacterial SSU rRNA
Rfam family: Bacterial small subunit ribosomal RNA
Source: RNAcentral